This 178-nucleotide small nuclear RNA is filed under the name Anopheles dirus. Its description in RNAcentral is "U12 minor spliceosomal RNA". It matches the Rfam family "U12 minor spliceosomal RNA". Rfam says of the family: Although the U12 sequence is very divergent from that of U2, the two are functionally analogous. The record is from RNAcentral. Lineage: Eukaryota; Metazoa; Arthropoda; Insecta; Diptera; Culicidae.
GUGCCUUAAACUAAUGAGUAAGGAAAAUUACGGGCCUUGGUGACGCUUGGCUCAGCCUACGCACAACGGGUGCGCGGUUGUCGUGCUCGGUAGGUCCUAUUUUUGCAGAGGCACAGGUCGUCCCUGGGUUUGUCCUGCCUACUUCUGCAGGAUGCCCGGGAGUGUUGCGAUCUGCCUC